Molecule: transfer RNA, 75 nt
Filed under: bacterium
Lineage: Bacteria
Also listed under: 5 other names
Description: tRNA-Arg
Rfam family: tRNA
About the family: Transfer RNA (tRNA) molecules are approximately 80 nucleotides in length. Their secondary structure includes four short double-helical elements and three loops (D, anti-codon, and T loops).
Source: RNAcentral
GGGCCCGUGGCCCAGCCUGGAUAGGGCAGCGGCCUGCGGAGCCGUUGGUCGAGGGUUCAAAUCCCUCCGGGCCCG